GAUGAACGCUGGCGGCGUGCCUAAUACAUGCAAGUCGAGCGAACGGACGAGAAGCUUUCUUCUCUGAUGUUAGCGGCGGACGGGUGAGUAACACGUGGAUAACCUACCUAUAAUACUGGGAUAACUUCGGGAAACCGGUGCUAAUACCGGAUAAUAUUUUGAACCGCAUGGUUCAAAAGUGAAAGACGGUCUUGCUGUCACUUAUAGAUGGAUCCGCGCUGCAUUAGCUAGUUGGUAAGGUAACGGCUUACCAAGGCAACGAUGCAUAGCCGACCUGAGAGGGUGAUCGGCCACACUGGAACUGAGACACGGUCCAGACUCCUACGGGAGGCAGCAGUAGGGAAUCUUCCGCAAUGGGCGAAAGCCUGACGGAGCAACGCCGCGUGAGUGAUGAAGGUCUUCGGAUCGUAAAACUCUGUUAUUAGGGAAGAACAUAUGUGUAAGUAACUGUGCACAUCUUGACGGUACCUAAUCAGAAAGCCACGGCUAACUACGUG
Molecule: ribosomal RNA, 497 nt
Filed under: uncultured bacterium
Lineage: Bacteria
Description: partial 16S ribosomal RNA
Rfam family: Bacterial small subunit ribosomal RNA
Source: RNAcentral